RNAcentral lists this ribosomal RNA (520 nucleotides) under uncultured Glomeromycotina. RNAcentral's name for it is "SSU rRNA". It matches the Rfam family "Eukaryotic small subunit ribosomal RNA", at positions 569 to 1090 of the family's 1831-position model. Lineage: Eukaryota; Fungi; Glomeromycota. The record is from RNAcentral.
AGCAGCCGCGGUAAUUCCAGCUCCAAUAGCGUAUAUUAAAGUUGUUGCAGUUAAAAAGCUCGUAGUUGAAUUUCGGGAUUAGUAAGUUGGUCGUGCCUCUGGUAUGUACUGGCUUUACUGGUUCCUCCUUCUUGAAGAACUGUAAUGUCAUUAAUUUGGUGUUGCAGGGAAACAGGACUGUUACUUUGAAAAAAUUAGAGUGUUUAAAGCAGGCUAACGCUUGAAUACAUUAGCAUGGAAUAAUGAAAUAGGACGUUUGAUCCUAUUUUGUUGGUUUCUAGGAUUGACGUAAUGAUUAGUAGGGAUAGUUGGGGGCAUUAGUAUUCAAUUGUCAGAGGUGAAAUUCUUGGAUUUAUUGAAGACUAACUACUGCGAAAGCAUUUGCCAAGGAUGUUUUCAUUAAUCAAGAACGAAAGUUAGGGGAUCGAAGACGAUCAGAUACCGUCGUAGUCUUAACCAUAAACUAUGCCGACUAGGGAUCGGAUGAUGUUAAUUUUUUAAUGACUCAUUCGGCGCCUUA